GACGAACGCUGGCGGCGUGCUUAACACAUGCAAGUCGAACGGAAAGGCCCCCUUGUGGGGUACUCGAGUGGCGAACGGGAGAGUAACACGUGAGUAACCUACCCUUGACUUUGGGAUAACUUCAGGAAACUGGGGCUAAUACCGGAUAGGAGCUCCUGCUGCAUGGUGGGGGUUGGAAAGUUUCGGCGGUUGGGGAUGGACUCGCGGCUUAUCAGCUUGUUGGUGGGGUAGUGGCUCACCAAGGCUUUGACGGGUAGCCGGCCUGAGAGGGUGACCGGCCACAUUGGGACUGAGAUACGGCCCAGACUCCUACGGGAGGCAGCAGUGGGGAAUAUUGCACAAUGGGCGGAAGCCUGAUGCAGCAACGCCGCGUGCGGGAUGACGGCCUUCGGGUUGUAAACCGCUUUCGCCUGUGACGAAGCGUGAGUGACGGUAAUGGGUAAAGAAGCACCGGCUAACUACGUG
This 465-nucleotide ribosomal RNA is filed under the name uncultured bacterium. RNAcentral describes it as "partial 16S ribosomal RNA". It matches the Rfam family "Bacterial small subunit ribosomal RNA", at positions 28 to 507 of the family's 1533-position model. The record is from RNAcentral.